GUCAGCGGCCAUAGGAAGGGGGAAACACCCGAUCCCAUCUCGAACUCGGAAGUUAAGCCCCUUUACGGUUUUGCCUGUACUGUCCUACGGACGGGAACGCGGACUGCUGCUGACA
This 115-nucleotide ribosomal RNA is filed under the name Microcaldota archaeon. Lineage: Archaea; Nanobdellati; Microcaldota. The record is from RNAcentral.